UCUUUGGUGCAGUAGGCAACACAUCAGUCUCCCAAGCUGAAGGUCCUGAGUUUGAAUCUCAGAAGA
RNAcentral lists this transfer RNA (66 nucleotides) under Monodelphis domestica (gray short-tailed opossum). It matches the Rfam family "tRNA". Rfam says of the family: Transfer RNA (tRNA) molecules are approximately 80 nucleotides in length. Their secondary structure includes four short double-helical elements and three loops (D, anti-codon, and T loops). The record is from Rfam by way of RNAcentral. Lineage: Eukaryota; Metazoa; Chordata; Mammalia; Didelphimorphia; Didelphidae.